AUUGAACGCUGGCGGCAGGCCUAACACAUGCAAGUCGAGCGGAUGAGUGGAGCUUGCUCCAUGAUUCAGCGGCGGACGGGUGAGUAAUGCCUAGGAAUCUGCCUGGUAGUGGGGGACAACGUUUCGAAAGGAACGCUAAUACCGCAUACGUCCUACGGGAGAAAGCAGGGGACCUUCGGGCCUUGCGCUAUCAGAUGAGCCUAGGUCGGAUUAGCUAGUAGGUGAGGUAAUGGCUCACCUAGGCGACGAUCCGUAACUGGUCUGAGAGGAUGAUCAGUCACACUGGAACUGAGACACGGUCCAGACUCCUACGGGAGGCAGCAGUGGGGAAUAGUUGGACAAUGGGACGAAGCCUGAUCCAGCCAUGCCGCGUGUGUGAA
Molecule: ribosomal RNA, 380 nt
Filed under: uncultured bacterium
Lineage: Bacteria
Description: bacterial SSU rRNA
Rfam family: Bacterial small subunit ribosomal RNA
Source: RNAcentral